This 477-nucleotide ribosomal RNA is filed under the name Aspicilia cupreogrisea. RNAcentral describes it as "eukaryotic LSU rRNA". The stretch from base 183 to 336 matches the Rfam family "5.8S ribosomal RNA". The record is from RNAcentral. Lineage: Eukaryota; Fungi; Ascomycota; Lecanoromycetes; Pertusariales; Megasporaceae.
CAUUACCGAGAUUAGGGUCUUUUCGGGCCCGACCCUCCAACCUUUGUGUAUAUACCACUGUUGCUUCGGCGGAACCCAUGGCAAUACGGCGCUGCUAGCCACGUCGAGCCUGGCCCGCCGCAGGCCUUCUCAAUCCUGACUAAUCAGUGAUGUCUGAGUACGCUUCGGCACAAAUAAAUUAAAACUUUCAACAACGGAUCUCUUGGUUCUGGCAUCGAUGAAGAACGCAGCGAAAUGCGAUAAGUAAUGUGAAUUGCAGAAUUCAGUGAAUCAUCGAAUCUUUGAACGCACAUUGCGCCCUCUGGUAUUCCGGGGGGCAUGCCUGUUCGAGCGUCAUUACACCUCUCAAGCUCAGCUUGGUAUUGGGCUUCCGUCCCUGGUGGACGGGUCUAAAAAUCAGUGGCGGUGCAGCCGGUGCUCAAGCGUAGUAACAAUACAUUCCGCUUUGGAGCCACCGGGGAUGGACCCGCCAGACAA